CCUGUUGUGCCUGCUGCACUCUCUGCCCAGUAUAAGGCGCUGUAUGUCUGUUGACAAGAGAAAUGCAGAGACCAGUGAUGGAAAAUCCUCACUCUCAGACCCAAGUGAAGCAGGAGGACUGGUCAGCCUGCCUACAUUAACAAGACAACAGAUGACUCCUGUGAAAUCAGCCAAUUCCCUAGCCACGUCCUCAGAGCAUGGGAAGGUUCUCCCUAUCCCAGUCUUCCGUCCCCACUUGCUGCAAGAUCUCCACCAUUGUUCCUGUACCCAAGUAAGCGAAGAUCCACGGAUUAUGCAAUCGCCAUCGCACUGCACACUGCCCUAUCCCAC
This is a long non-coding RNA of Oncorhynchus kisutch (coho salmon), 330 nucleotides long. RefSeq lists it as uncharacterized. NCBI's taxonomy places the organism in Eukaryota, Metazoa, Chordata, Actinopteri, Salmoniformes, Salmonidae. The record is from RefSeq and is a predicted model, not a curated record. The transcript is spliced from 3 exons.